GACCGCGUAGUUCAGUUGACAGAGCAUUGGACUAGUAUUCCAAAGGUCGUAGGUUCGAUUCCCACCGUGGUCA
Non-coding RNA from Paramuricea clavata, 73 nucleotides. The record is from the annotation of a GenBank genome assembly. Lineage: Eukaryota; Metazoa; Cnidaria; Anthozoa; Malacalcyonacea; Plexauridae.